AAAAGGGAGCAGAAAAUUCAGCGUGAACAAGAAUCAACAGAGAAUGUUCCAGGCUUCACAGUGGAAGGAAGGGCAAGGCAAUCAAAGUAGAUGGAUAUCAAAAGGAGAGUGGAAGGGAAAGAAGAUAAAACUGUGGUGGCAGCUUUGACCAUGGCGUUACAAUCCCCAAGAUUAUGUGUGUCUGUGUGUGUACGUGUGUGUGCAUUAUAUCCACGUUGGAAAGAGCUGAAUUGUGUGUGAAAUUUCGAGUUGCACUCUUUCUAGCAACAUUGCCAUGUCUCAGGAUGACAGGACUUGAAUUGUUUCACUUUGACUAAACGUGUAGAAGAGAAAGCUGGCUGGCGAAUAUUGUAUUACACACAGCAGUAAGGAUGGCCCGUGCAGAAAUGUAAGGCAUGUGAUAGAUGGGCAAAGCACGAGUGGCACUCUGCCAGCUCGUGAUAAGUAUCUGGCACAUCUGCAGCAUCACCAAGUGGUCUCUGAUUUAGCAAAAGCAUCAUAAAGAUAUUUGGUGUCAUAAAAGUAACACUUUAUUUAACCUUCCUGUACAAACUUUAGGAGCAUUAAUCUGUCACAGUAGGCUCUAUCUUGUACAUGUAAAUGGAUGAGACUCUGUAAUCAAAUCCUAAAUGUGUAUUUGCUGCAAUACGGCUUUUCAGAAGAAUGUAUGAUGGGAAGCAACACACGGAGCAGGGGACAAUUAAAGGGAUGGCACCAUGCUCGAUGAGACUGAGGCACAGACGUAGGAUGCUGAAAGAGCAUGGAAGAACCUAGCAGAUGAGAGCAAGGAGCAGCAGAAGGUGGCAGCACUCUUGCUCCACACCCAGACUCUGCGCAAUUUACACAUGGGAAAGAUUGGAAAGGUCAUGUGACGUCAGCUUGGCCCACACAUUGGAAUGGGAAUCUGUUGGCAAAGUGAAAAUUAUUGGUCUCGCAAAACUGAGAUGGGAACAUCGACCUGAAAAGAAUGCAUCUUAUGGUUUUUACAAUGCCAUUUAGGAAUAUGACAUGAAUAUCCCAAAGUACAGAUGUAAGAAUGUGAAUUUUAAGUUCAAUAGAGAAGAAGGGAGAGAAAGAGAUAGAAAGGAGGAGAGGAAAAGACAGCAUGCCAUUUUUCAAGACGUAACUCUUAGCAUCUCUUUUUCUUUCCCGGAAAGUACUGAAUAUUGAUAAGAAUUGUGAAGACUCUGAGGCCUCCCAGUAUUUUGGAGAACAUUUCACAAAGCAAACUUUAGUCAUGUAAAAUGGGUAAACAUGAUGUGAAAUGUAUUAACACAUUUGGUGAAUUCUGCAAAUAUAUUUUUACACAAUUAGCCUAAUUAUUUAGAUACAUAUUAAACCUUGCUUGCCUCAAGCAAUUUAACAUGGAAUGUAAUUUCACAUAUUAUCACAAGAAAAACACAUUUAUAGAAAAUCUGUGGCUUGCCUUUCAUCAUAACACUUCAACCCAUCAUUAUUUGAGAUAUAAAUAGAUAGUGUAUAUUUCAAGGAUGAUGAACACUGUAUUUCCGGAGAAAGUGUCUCCUAAUCCAGUCAGUACUUGGUCCCCUAAAUCCAUCUCUGUUCAUUUGUUAUGUUGAAAUAGACACUGGUACUGAUGCAUCGGUGAUACAAUAACAAUAUACAAAACAGAGUGUCCCCCCCCAUUCUGAACUGAAAAGAUUUGCUAUCAUUUAUUUUGAGGGGCUUUAAAAGAGAAGAGCACACAGAACUAAUUCAAAAAGACUUGCAGAGGAGGCGAGAUGACUGUAGUUCUGCAUGUUCCCCUGUUUGCAAGCCAACAGGAGUCACUUCAACUUUAAAAAUCCUGCUCAACAGUCAUUGCGCACUGUCUUUCCAUUCGUAUUUUCAAUGGACUGUGUGGAGCAUUACUUCCUGAGAGAUCAAAUUAUUUGGAAAUCCUUUUAUCAGUCAUUUUCGCGACAGAAAAAGGGGAGCAUUGAUGAUAAGAACACUUUAUGUUUGAAUGGUGAUUAAAAGAUUUUUAAAGAGCUUCCACACACAUCAUUUUAUUGUGGAACAACUUGAUGAUCUAGGCAGUAUUUCAUAUUGGCCGUUUAUAUUUAAAGAAACUCUCUUUUACAAAGGGAGAAAAUAAAUUACAGAGAGAAAUAACUUGCCAUAGUCACUUGAACUGUGACCACACAGACAGAAGUAUUUUUAUCAAAUAUGUUUUUGGCAUUUUACUAUAUGACAAACAACAGCAUUUUGAAGUGAAG
This 2219-nucleotide long non-coding RNA is filed under the name Equus caballus (horse). RNAcentral describes it as "lncRNA (ENSECAG00000057777.1)". Lineage: Eukaryota; Metazoa; Chordata; Mammalia; Perissodactyla; Equidae. The record is from RNAcentral.